Non-coding RNA from Bos taurus (domestic cattle), 72 nucleotides. The record is from Rfam. NCBI's taxonomy places the organism in Eukaryota, Metazoa, Chordata, Mammalia, Artiodactyla, Bovidae.
UCCCUGGUGGUCCAGGGGUUAGAACUCGGUGCUUUCACUACCGAGGCCUGGGUUCAAUCCCCGGUUGAGGAU